Antechinus flavipes (yellow-footed antechinus) is the source of this 2638-nucleotide long non-coding RNA. RefSeq lists it as uncharacterized. The transcript has 12 exons. The record is from RefSeq and is a predicted model, not a curated record. NCBI's taxonomy places the organism in Eukaryota, Metazoa, Chordata, Mammalia, Dasyuromorphia, Dasyuridae.
CCUGACUGCCAGGCAGAGCCCACUCUCCCGGGUGCCCACCUCUCUGUCUUCCUCCUCCUCCUCCCCCCUCCUCCUCUUCCUCCCUUCCUCUUCUUCCUCCCCCUUUCUUCCUCUUCCUCCCCUUCUCUUUUUUCUAUCUUUCUUAACAUAAGGCUUCAAGCUUCCACUCCGCUCUCUUUUAAGUUCUGGAGUGUUUAUGGCACAACACCACUGAGGAUACAACAUUUUUGAAGAAGGGAACGAAGUGGUCCUUCUGGUUGCUUCCUCAGAAGCAGUUGGAGAACAAACACAGUCUGAACAGCAGCAGUGCCCGCGGGGAUCUUGAAGACCAUGAAGGUUACCCCAACACCACAGCCACCAAUCCAACGCCGCGCAGACAUGAGGAGGAGGAGAAACAGGAGACCUAGAGAAGGAAAGCAGACCACAGUCAACCACUGUACAAGCCUCCCCCAGAAUACAUCGAUUGGGAAAACGGGGAAAUCUUCAGAUCAUGAGACGUAUUUCCCCGUUUCGGAGGACAGGGUCCCUGAACAGCCUAGAAGGGGGGAGUCCUAGUAAAGAGAAUUCCACACAGCAUGGUGAGUGAUUUCUAUGCAGCCCUGCACUCCUCAUGACCAUCACAACUGAAAAUUCUCCCUAUAUCUGUACAAGUCUCCCUCAGAACAUCAAUUGGAACAACUGGCAAAUCUUCAACAUAACAUCAGACGUGCAGAGGCAUCCUUUGGCAACUUUAAAUGGAACCCCCCUUCAAGGGACAGCUCCAAAAACAUCUUCUGGAGUGUUUACAACCCUAAUGUCCAAUACCACCUAGGGACAUAACAUCUCAUUGACAAGGGAAAGUUCUUCUGGGAGGUUUCCCAGGGUUCCAACAGUGCCACAACCAAAACUCUCCCUAUUCGCCACUGUACGUCUCCCUCGGAACAUCAUUUGGAAAACCUAGAAAAUGUUCUGCAGAACAGCAGAGGGUGCAGAGGCGUCCUUCAACACCGCUGGGAGAAUAUUCCUCCUGAAAAACAUCAUGAGUGAUUUUUGAACAGCUGAGAAGGGUGCCUUGCCAAUGAAAAAAUAAUCUGGCCCAUAGUAGUGGGAGACCCUCAAAAAUACAACAGGGACUCCUCCUUAAGGGAAGAAAGCAUUGUGUACAAGUGGAUCUGCAAGAACAUCAUUAUAUAUGCACAGCAUGGGUUCCUCCAUCGUAACCGAGUCCUCGACAGGUCCAGGUUCCAGAGCAACAUCGUACAACAUCGUAAAGAUACAGUAACUGAAAAAAUACAUCUACUGGAAAUAGAAGAAUCUUUCAGGAGGAAAGAUUCACCGGAUACUCCUUCGUACAUUCCCUGGAAACAGGAACGAAUGACACAUCAGGAUGUUCGGGAUGUUCCUACUUACAGAUUCACCAGAUACUCCUUCGAAUACAUUCCUGCAAACAGGAACGUUUGACACAUCAGGAUGUUCGGGAUGUUCCUACUUACAGAUUCACCAGAUACUCCUUCGAAUACAUUCCCUGUAAACAGGAACAGAUGACACAUCAGGAUGUUCGGGAUGUUCCUACCUACAAAUUCACCGGAUACUCCUUCGAAUACAUUCCCUGGAAACAGAAUGAUGACACAUCAGGAUGUUCGGGAUGUUCCUACCUACAGAUUCACCGGAUACUCCUUUGAAUACAUUCCCUGGAAACCAUCAGAAUGUUCGGGAUGUUCCUACAGUUUCACCGGAUACUCCUUCGAACACAUUCCCUGGAAACCAUCAGAAUGUUCGGGAUGUUCCUACCUACAGAUUCACCGGAUACUCCUUCGAACACAUUCCCUGGAAACCAUCAGAAUGUUCGGGAUGUUCCUACCUACAGUUUCACCGGAUACUCCUUCGAACACAUUCCCUGGAAACCAUCAGAAUGUUCGGGAUGUUCCUACCUACAGUUUCACCGGAUACUCCUUCGAACACAUUCCCUGGAAACCAUCAGAAUGUUCGGGAUGAUCCUACAGUUUCACCGGAUACUCCUUCGAAUACAUUCCCUGGAAACCAUCAGAAUGUUCGGGAUGUUCCUACCUACAAUUUCACCGGAUACUCCUUCGAACACAUUCCCUGGAAACAGGAACGAAUGAUACAUCAGGAUGUUCGGGAUGUUCCUACCUAGAUUCACAAAUACUCUUCAAAUACAUUCCCUGGAAACAGAAACAACACAGCAGGAUGUUCCUACCUACAGAUUCACUCCUUCGAUACUCCGAAUACAUUCCCUGGAAACAGGAACUUAUCAGUAUAGCAGCACACAGUGCCUUCCAUACAGAGAUCAUCAUCGGAGGAGAGUGCAUGGAAGACAUGGUUCCUGAGCAAGAACAAGUAGUAUACUGCCCCUCCUAAACUUCAUCUAACACUCUGAAGUGAAAGGAGCGCCCUCACUAUAGUGAAACAUCUGAGGAGCCCGGCAGGAAGUCCUUCCCAGGGAAAUACCAUUGGGCUACAGUAAUUUUGGUGGGAAUAUUUGGCUACAAACAGGGAGGUCCAGUUAUCAAACAGUUCCAAAAUACCACAGGAUGUACUGCCUGCCUACAUGGAUACUCCUUUAACCAUCUACUAGAAAUAGUGGGGGAUCCGGCGUCAGGGAGAGAAAAAAAUUAAAAAAAUAUAAAAAAAAAAAAAA